This 644-nucleotide ribosomal RNA is filed under the name Allobosea sp. Its description in RNAcentral is "bacterial SSU rRNA". It matches the Rfam family "Bacterial small subunit ribosomal RNA", at positions 130 to 808 of the family's 1533-position model. The record is from RNAcentral. Lineage: Bacteria; Pseudomonadati; Pseudomonadota; Alphaproteobacteria; Hyphomicrobiales; Alloboseaceae.
CUUUCGGUUCGGAAUAAUUCAGGGAAACUUGGACUAAUACCGGAUACGCCCUUCGGGGGAAAGAUUUAUCGCCGAUAGAUCGGCCCGCGUCUGAUUAGCUAGUUGGUGAGGUAAUGGCUCACCAAGGCGACGAUCAGUAGCUGGUCUGAGAGGAUGAUCAGCCACAUUGGGACUGAGACACGGCCCAAACUCCUACGGGAGGCAGCAGUGGGGAAUAUUGGACAAUGGGCGCAAGCCUGAUCCAGCCAUGCCGCGUGAGUGAUGAAGGCCUUAGGGUUGUAAAGCUCUUUUGUCCGGGAAGAUAAUGACUGUACCGGAAGAAUAAGCCCCGGCUAACUUCGUGCCAGCAGCCGCGGUAAUACGAAGGGGGCUAGCGUUGCUCGGAAUCACUGGGCGUAAAGGGCGCGUAGGCGGACUCUUAAGUCGGGGGUGAAAGCCCAGGGCUCAACCCUGGAAUUGCCUUCGAUACUGAGAGUCUUGAGUUCGGAAGAGGUUGGUGGAACUGCGAGUGUAGAGGUGAAAUUCGUAGAUAUUCGCAAGAACACCAGUGGCGAAGGCGGCCAACUGGUCCGAUACUGACGCUGAGGCGCGAAAGCGUGGGGAGCAAACAGGAUUAGAUACCCUGGUAGUCCACGCCGUAAACG